GAACCCAAUCCCAUUUUUAUCGCCAUCCAUUCCCAUAAACAAAAUCGAUUUUCACAUGUAUCGCCAUCCCUAAUAUGCAUAUCCCUAAACCCAAUCCCAUUUUUAUCACCAUCCAUAUCCCAUAAACCCAAUUCGAUUUCAUCGGUUCCAACAGAUUCUGAGAUAGAUUUUGAUGAAAAGAGAUUUCGAUUUCUAUCUUAUCCCUAAACCCAAUUCGAUUUUCUCGCCAUCUCUAAUCUCUCCUAUCCGUAAAACCGAUUGAUAUUUAUAAGGAUGAGAACUGGAGUCGGAUGAUAAGAGAUUUUGAUUUCUGUUGACUCUGUUUGCAGUUCGAGAAUUUGCUACUAUCAGUAUACGGAUUUUGAGUUCAAGAAUUUGCUACUUUGUUACUAUUGGUAGCUGAUUUUGAGGUCUUCAUCUUUUUUUAUAAGGUCGAGAUUUUGCUUGAUCAGAGACUUGAGGCUGAUCUUCUAGCUUCGACAACGGCUAAAUUCUCUAAUAAAAUUCAAGAAUUUGCUGGUUUGCUACUAUUGGUGGUUGAUUUGGACUCACAGUUGAAGGAAGCAAUUAUUCAGAAUAGCAGGAAUUUCCAACCAAAAUAUCAAAUUGGUUAGGAACUAAAACAGCAUCCAAAUAGAAGAUUUCAAGAAUUUGCUGGUUUGCUACUAUUGGUGGCUGAUUUCGACUCACAGUU
Molecule: long non-coding RNA, 694 nt
Organism: Cynara cardunculus var. scolymus (artichoke)
Lineage: Eukaryota; Viridiplantae; Streptophyta; Magnoliopsida; Asterales; Asteraceae
Exons: 6
Source: RefSeq, a predicted model, not a curated record